Molecule: transfer RNA, 85 nt
Filed under: Felis catus (domestic cat)
Lineage: Eukaryota; Metazoa; Chordata; Mammalia; Carnivora; Felidae
Also listed under: 2 other names
Rfam family: tRNA
About the family: Transfer RNA (tRNA) molecules are approximately 80 nucleotides in length. Their secondary structure includes four short double-helical elements and three loops (D, anti-codon, and T loops). Further hydrogen bonds mediate the characteristic L-shaped molecular structure. tRNAs have two regions of fundamental functional importance: the anti-codon, which is responsible for specific mRNA codon recognition, and the 3' end, to which the tRNAs corresponding amino acid is attached (by aminoacyl-tRNA synthetases). tRNAs cope with the degeneracy of the genetic code in two manners: having more than one tRNA (with a specific anti-codon) for a particular amino acid; and 'wobble' base-pairing, i.e. permitting non-standard base-pairing at the 3rd anti-codon position.
Source: Rfam by way of RNAcentral
GCCUGGGUGGCUUAGUCGGUUAAGCAUCUGACUUCAGCUCAGGUCAUGAUCUCACGGUUUGUGAGUUCAAGCCCCACGUGAGGCU